AUGGCGGCGUCCAAGGCGCUGAUGCUGGCGGUGGGCGUGGUGGUGGUGGCGGGGUGCGCGGUGGGGCUGUCGGGCGCGACCGCGGGUGGAACCCCAACAUCAACUACUCCAGCUGGUCCGCCAACCAGACCUUCUACGCCGGCGACCUCAUCUCGCUCCGGUACCAGAAGGGGACGCACAACGUGUUCAAGGUGA
RNAcentral lists this ribosomal RNA (195 nucleotides) under Triticum aestivum (bread wheat). RNAcentral describes it as "partial small subunit ribosomal RNA". The record is from RNAcentral. Lineage: Eukaryota; Viridiplantae; Streptophyta; Magnoliopsida; Poales; Poaceae.